Molecule: long non-coding RNA, 751 nt
Organism: Protopterus annectens (West African lungfish)
Lineage: Eukaryota; Metazoa; Chordata; Ceratodontiformes; Protopteridae
Exons: 2
Source: RefSeq, a predicted model, not a curated record
UAGGUGGGGAAAAUAAAAGGAAAAACACUCCCUGGUAGCAAUAAGAUGCUGGCCAGGUAUCCUCAAUCUCUCCUGACUGGUCCUAGCCAAGAGCUGAAUACAGCCCAGGGAAGGUUAAGUCUUGUCCAGUACAUCAUGUGAGCAAGGUCGGGGAUGGUGCAAAUGAUAUUCCGUUGGUGUCGGGGAGGCAAAUAGUGUGCAAAAACAAAGAAGGGAGAGAAAAUGAUACAGCCAAUCCAGUUGUGGUAAGAAUGAAGGUGGUGCAGCCAGAUGGUGUCAUGAUGAGUAUGGCGAAUCGCAGUAGCUAUCACAUAGCCACCUUACCUUUCCAGAAUCUCCAGCCCGUUCAUGGAAAGACAACACUUUUUGUAAUGAUACAGCAACAUUUUAGCUUGAAAUGGCUGGAGAAAGAAAACCUGAAUAGGAUUAUAAAGUGCAGUCUGUUUAGCCACCAUAUCUGAAAAAGAAAAUUCCUUUGAAAUGUAGUAGUCAUCAGAAUUGUGGGUGGAACAUUUAAUCACUGAUGUUUGCUUUGGUAGUACAACAGCCAACCUACAAAAAUGCAUUUUUGACAGAACCUGAUGAUAUAAACGAUCCUUUUUCCCUCUACAGUGUCCCAAACACAUGAACUAAACCACACUCAUAAUGUGAGUCUGUGAAAAUAACCAUUUUAUUCUUUGGUAGUGAUUCUGAUGAAAUCCUUGCUUGUAUAUAGGACAAAAGCACUCAAUAAAUUUCACUUUUUAAGCUU